AUACGAACUGUGCAAACGUUAUUCGGAAUCACUGGGCUUAAAGGGUGCGUAGGCGGACUUGAAGGUCCGAUGUGAAAUCCCACGGCUCAACCGUGGAAUUGCGUCGGAAACCACAAGUCUCGAGGGAGUCAGAGGUAAGCGGAACUGAUGGUGGAGCGGUGAAAUGCGUUGAUAUCAUCAGGAACACCGGUGGCGAAAGCGGCUUACUGGGACUUUUCUGACGCUGAGGCACGAAAGCUAGGGGAGCGAACGGGAUUAGAAACCCUAGUAGUCC
This 274-nucleotide ribosomal RNA is filed under the name uncultured bacterium. Its description in RNAcentral is "partial 16S ribosomal RNA". It matches the Rfam family "Bacterial small subunit ribosomal RNA", at positions 523 to 796 of the family's 1533-position model. The record is from RNAcentral.